RNAcentral lists this long non-coding RNA (535 nucleotides) under Androctonus crassicauda. The record is from RNAcentral. Lineage: Eukaryota; Metazoa; Arthropoda; Arachnida; Scorpiones; Buthidae.
AACCUGUACUGAAGAGGGACCGGAAAUGGAUCUGAAAACAUUUUACCAAUUAAAAGUUUUGUGGUAUUUGUCUGUAGUGCAUUUUUAGACAUACUUAUGUGCAAAAUAUUCUAGAAUCAUUGUUACAUUAUGGAAUUGAAAAGACUGAUGAUGUGAAAAGCAAUAUUUCACUGAUUAUAUAACAAUGGUGAUAACUAUACAGAAAUAUUGGAAGUACACUUGCAUUGUUAUACAGGCAGAUCCUGAUUUAUAUAAAUGAAUUUAUCAGUAAAAUCCUGUUUAAAUUGAAUCUAUUUAUGCUAAACAUAUGUUAUACAUUAUUAGUGGGUCACAAAAACAUAACAUUAAAAACAAUUUCUUUAAAGAAUAAACAUAUAAGUCGUGUUAAAACAGUCCCUUAUCUUGAAGGAUAUGGAUUCAAUUUUGAAUCUCACACUUCCAGUUUUAUCAGGAGGGACUGGAUUUGGGUCUGGCUUGUUAAUCAAAAAUUAAACUUACAUAAGUGUGGAUCUAUUUAAGUUGGGGAUUGUCAGCA